This 445-nucleotide ribosomal RNA is filed under the name uncultured bacterium. Its description in RNAcentral is "partial 16S ribosomal RNA". It matches the Rfam family "Bacterial small subunit ribosomal RNA", at positions 330 to 792 of the family's 1533-position model. The record is from RNAcentral.
CCCAGACUCCUACGGGAGGCAGCAGUGGGGAAUAUUGCACAAUGGGGGGAACCCUGAUGCAGCGACGCCGCGUGGGUGAAGAAGUCAUUCGUGACGUAAAGCCCUAUCAGCAGGGAAGAAAAUGACGGUACCUGACUAAGAAGCCCCGGCUAGCUACGUGCCAGCAGCCGCGGUAAUACGUAGGGGGCAAGCGUUAUCCGGAUUUACUGGGUGUAAAGGGAGCGUAGACGGCGGCGCAAGUCCGGAGUGAAAGCCCACGGCCCAACCGUGGGACUGCUCUGGAAACUGUGCGGCUUGAGUGCGGGAGGGGCAGGCGGAAUUCCUAGUGUAGCGGUGAAAUGCGUAGAUAUAAGGAAGAACACCAGUGGCGAAGGCGGAUGACUGGACGGCAACUGACGGUGAGGCGCGAAAGCGUGGGGAGCAAACAGGAUUAGAUACCCGCGUA